UGCAAAGGGAAACACAAUGCCUCAGUCC
Molecule: non-coding RNA, 28 nt
Filed under: Homo sapiens (human)
Lineage: Eukaryota; Metazoa; Chordata; Mammalia; Primates; Hominidae
Source: RNAcentral